GGGGCUGCUUUGGUUUCGACAUUUAAAGUUGAUUAAAGUAUGAAUCAGGUCGAAGCUUGUAUUCUUCGUAAAAAUCUACAAAUUAAAAAUAAAUGCUAAUAACUUAAUUCGUUCAAUUUUUAAAGCAGUAAAUUUUGUGAAUAAACAAAAUCAUUCAAAAUUAUUACAAUUUGCUUUUUAAAAACUAAAGAAAUUUGAUUAUAAAAAUUUGUUCCCUAAGAUUAGACUUUUUUGUCUUAUUUAGUUUAGAAUAAUUUAAAAUAAAAAUGUGUUCUUUUGAACUAUGCCUGUGAAUAAAUACCUUAGACAAUUUUAAAUGGACGUGGGUUCAAUUCCCAUCAGCUCCA
RNAcentral lists this transfer-messenger RNA (347 nucleotides) under Eunotia naegelii. RNAcentral's name for it is "ssrA". It matches the Rfam family "transfer-messenger RNA". Rfam says of the family: Bacterial tmRNA, also known as 10Sa RNA or SsrA, is named for its dual tRNA and mRNA-like properties. Its role is to liberate the mRNA from a stalled ribosome. To accomplish this part of the tmRNA is used as a reading frame that ends in a translation stop signal. Lineage: Eukaryota; Bacillariophyta; Bacillariophyceae; Eunotiales; Eunotiaceae. The record is from RNAcentral.